AUAUCAGUCAUGCAUAGCAUAUCAAUAAGCGGAGGAAAAGAAACUAACAAGGAUUCCCUUAGUAACGGCGAGUGAAGCGGGAAGAGCUCAAAUUUGAAAUCUUCAAGGUUUUACCUUGACGAAUUGUAGUUUAAAGAAGUGUUUUCUGUUGAAGUUUUGGUAAAAGUUCUUUGGAAUAGGACAUCAUAGAGGGUGAGAAUCCCGUAUUUGACCAUUACUUUCAGCUUUGUGAUACACUUUCGAAGAGUCGGAUUGUUUGGGAAUGCAGUCCAAAAUGGGUGGUAAAUUUCAUCUAAAGCUAAAUAUUGGCGAGAGACCGAUAGCGAACAAGUACCGUGAGGGAAAGAUGAAAAGAACUUUGAAAAGAGAGUUAAACAGUACGUGAAAUUGUCAAAAGGGAAGCGUUUGACACCAGUGUUGUUUUCUCGAAAAUCAAUUAAAAAGAGUUGGAUUUUGUGUUGUAUUGACUUUAUCGGCUUUCUUCACUCUUUUCCAGCUUUUUUUAAUGCACUUUUCGUUUAACAAGUCAACAUCAGUUUCUUUUGUUGUAAAAAGGUCAUUGGAAGGUGGCUUUCUCUUCGGAGAAAGUGUUUAUAGCCUUUGACUCAUGCAAUCGGAGAGACUGAGGUCUGCAGCGUAGAUCCUUCGGGGUUAGAUACAUUUGUGCUAAGUUAUAGCUUCUCAUAGACAACUUGUUGGAACUAUGUUUAGUCUUGUAGCUUACUCGCUUAUGCUAUUUUACCUACGCUUAGGAUGUUGAACUCUAUCACACACAG
This 776-nucleotide ribosomal RNA is filed under the name uncultured Neocallimastigales. Its description in RNAcentral is "partial large subunit ribosomal RNA". It matches the Rfam family "Eukaryotic large subunit ribosomal RNA", at positions 22 to 621 of the family's 3401-position model. Lineage: Eukaryota; Fungi; Neocallimastigomycota; Neocallimastigomycetes; Neocallimastigales. The record is from RNAcentral.